This 366-nucleotide ribosomal RNA is filed under the name uncultured eukaryote. RNAcentral's name for it is "SSU rRNA". It matches the Rfam family "Eukaryotic small subunit ribosomal RNA", at positions 587 to 969 of the family's 1831-position model. The record is from RNAcentral.
AGCUCCAAUAGCGUAUAUUAAAGUUGUUGCAGUUAAAAAGCUCGUAGUUGAAUUUCUGGUCAAUCGUAGUCUUGGCUUCGGUCGGGCUAUGGUUGGUCAUCCGUUUGCAAGCUGCACUCGGCCUUCACUGGUUCGGUGUAGUGAGCUGACAUUUUACUUUGAAAAAAUUAGAGUGUUUCAGGCAGGCUUUUGCCCGAAUACAUUAGCAUGGAAUAAUGGAAUUGGACUCCGGUUCAUUUGGUUGGUUAUUGGAUCUGAGUAAUGGUUAAUAGGGACAGUUGGGGGCAUUAGUAUUUAAUUGUCAGAGGUGAAAUUCUUGGAUUUAUUAAAGACUAACUUAUGCGAAAGCAUUUGCCAAGGAUGUUU